UUAAGUUCAGCGGGUAUUCCUACCUGAUCCGAGGUCAACCUUUGGUAAUAUAAUGGGUUUUACGGCAGGGCACCGCCAGUCCGUCCAAAGCGAGGUGGUAAAACUACUGCGCUCGGAGUCCUGGCGAGCCCGCCACUCAAUUUAGGGGCCUGCCCCCGCUAGGGGGGGCAGCGCCCCAACACCAAGCAUACGCUUGAGGG
This 200-nucleotide unclassified non-coding RNA is filed under the name Stilbospora sp. Its description in RNAcentral is "partial internal transcribed spacer 2". Lineage: Eukaryota; Fungi; Ascomycota; Sordariomycetes; Diaporthales; Stilbosporaceae. The record is from RNAcentral.